GGAUGCGAUCAUACCAGCACUAAAGCACCGGAUCCCUUCAGAACUCCGAAGUUAAGCGUGCUUGGGCGAGAAUAGUACUAGGUUGGGUGACCUCCUGGGAAGUCCUCGUGUUGUAUUCC
This 119-nucleotide ribosomal RNA is filed under the name Triticum aestivum (bread wheat). The record is from RNAcentral. Lineage: Eukaryota; Viridiplantae; Streptophyta; Magnoliopsida; Poales; Poaceae.